This 86-nucleotide non-coding RNA is filed under the name Clostridium gasigenes. RNAcentral's name for it is "c-di-GMP-I riboswitch aptamer". It matches the Rfam family "c-di-GMP-I riboswitch aptamer". Rfam says of the family: GEMM was predicted in a large-scale screen for bacterial structured RNA regulatory elements. Genes associated with GEMM are involved in a diverse array of functions, including chemotaxis regulation, signal transduction, secretion and chitin. The record is from Rfam by way of RNAcentral. Lineage: Bacteria; Bacillati; Bacillota; Clostridia; Eubacteriales; Clostridiaceae.
UAAAACAAUGGGCAAAUUUAGAGAAAUCUAGAGGCGCAAAGCUAAAGGGGCUAAGGGAUUUAAAACUAUGCCAGCCAGUUGCUAAA